AGGGUAUUCAUUUCGGCAGCCUGUAUACUAAAAUUGAAACAAUACAGAAAAGAUUAGCAUGGCCCCUGCGCAAGGAUGACAUGGAAAUUUGUAAAGUAUUCCAUAUUUUU
RNAcentral lists this small nuclear RNA (110 nucleotides) under Chinchilla lanigera (long-tailed chinchilla). Lineage: Eukaryota; Metazoa; Chordata; Mammalia; Rodentia; Chinchillidae. The record is from RNAcentral.